RNAcentral lists this ribosomal RNA (445 nucleotides) under uncultured bacterium. Its description in RNAcentral is "partial 16S ribosomal RNA". It matches the Rfam family "Bacterial small subunit ribosomal RNA", at positions 354 to 796 of the family's 1533-position model. The record is from RNAcentral.
GUAAGGAAUAUUGGUCAAUGGACGAAAGUCUGAACCAGCCAUGCCGCGUGAAGGAUGAAGGCCCUCUGGGUUGUAAACUUCUUUUAUCUGGGACGAAAAAAGGGUAUUCUUACUCACUUGACGGUACCAGAGGAAUAAGCACCGGCUAACUCCGUGCCAGCAGCCGCGGUAAUACGGAGGGUGCAAGCGUUAUCCGGAUUCACUGGGUGUAAAGGGUGCGUAGGUGGGUAUUUAAGUCAGUGGUGAAAUCUCCGAGCUUAACUCGGAAACUGCCAUUGAUACUAUUUACCUUGAAUGCCCUGGAGGUAAGCGGAAUAUGUCAUGUAGCGGUGAAAUGCUUAGAUAUGACAUAGAACACCAAUUGCGAAGGCAGCUUACUACGGGGUGAUUGACACUGAGGCACGAAAGCGUGGGGAGCAAACAGGAUUAGAUACCCUUGUAGUCC